UACAUGACAAGUCGAACGGGGUUUGCCAGCAAUGGCAAGCCUAGUGGCGCACGGGUGCGUAACGCGUAUGCAACCUACCUUUUCCAGGGUGGAUAGCCUUCCGAAAGGGAGAUUAACACCGCAUAAGAUCAUUGAACGGCAUCGUUUGGUGAUGAAAUCCACGGAGGGAAAAGAUGGGCAUGCGUCCGAUUAGCUAGUUGGCGGGGUAGAGGCCCACCAAGGCGACGAUCGGUCGGGGACCUGAGAGGGCGAUCCCCCACACUGGCACUGAGAUACGGGCCAGACUCCUACGGGAGGCAGCAGUAGGGAAUAUUGGGCAAUGGAGGCGACUCUGACCCAGCCAUGCCGCGUGCCGGAAGAAGGCGCUACGCGUUGUAAACGGCUUUUUUUCGGGAAGAAAACGCUCCUGCGGGAGUAACUGACGGUACCGAAGGAAUCAGCACCGGCUAACUCCGUGCCAGCAGCCGCGGUAAUACGGAGGGUGCAAGCGUUGUCCGGAUUCAUUGGGUUUAAAGGGUGCGCAGGCGGGAGGUUAAGUCAGGGGUGAAAGACGGUUGCUCAACAAUCGCAGUGCCCUUGAUACUGGCUUUCUUGGGUGACCUUGAGGUAGGCGGAAUGGGUGGUGUAGCGGUGAAAUGCAUAGAUACCACCCAGAACUCCGAUUGCGAAGGCAGCCUACUGGAGGUUAACCGACGCUCAGGCACGAAAGCGUGGGGAUCAAACAGGAUUAGAUACCCUGGUAGUCCACGCCGUAAACGAUGAUCACUGGCUGUGGGGACAUUGGUUUCCGCGGCUGAGCGAAAGCGUUAAGUGAUCCACCUGGGGAGUACGCCCGCAAGGGUGAAACUCAAAGGAAUUGACGGGGGCCCGCACAAGCAGCGGAGCGUGUGGUUUAAUUCGAGGCUACCCGAAGAACCUUACCUGGGUUUGACAUGCUCGUAGUAGCGAGACGAAAGUUGAGCGACCUUCGGGAGCGAGCACAGGUGCUGCAUGGCUGUCGUCAGCUCGUGUCGUGAGAUGUACGGUUAAGUCCGCAAACGAGCGCAACCCCCGGGCGUAGUUACACGGUGGUCUACGACGACUGCCCGUGAGAAACGGGAGGAAGGUGGGGAUGACGUCAAGUCAGCAUGGCCUUUAUAUCCAGGGCGACACACACGCUACAAUGGACGGUACAAUCGGGAGCGAAAGCGCGAGCUGGAGCCAAUCCGCCAAAGCCGUUCGUAGUUCGGAUUGCAGGCUGCAACCCGCCUGCAUGAAGUUGGAGUUGCUAGUAACCGCCGGUCAG
This 1285-nucleotide ribosomal RNA is filed under the name uncultured bacterium. RNAcentral's name for it is "bacterial SSU rRNA". It matches the Rfam family "Bacterial small subunit ribosomal RNA", at positions 52 to 1352 of the family's 1533-position model. The record is from RNAcentral.